Molecule: ribosomal RNA, 79 nt
Filed under: Providencia rettgeri
Lineage: Bacteria; Pseudomonadati; Pseudomonadota; Gammaproteobacteria; Enterobacterales; Morganellaceae
Also listed under: 2 other names
Description: partial 16S ribosomal RNA
Rfam family: Bacterial small subunit ribosomal RNA
Source: RNAcentral
UAAUUGAAGAGUUUGAUCAUGGCUCAGAUUGAACGCUGGCGGCAGGCCUAACACAUGCAAGUCGAGCGGUAACAGGGGA